This 433-nucleotide ribosomal RNA is filed under the name uncultured bacterium. Its description in RNAcentral is "partial 16S ribosomal RNA". It matches the Rfam family "Bacterial small subunit ribosomal RNA", at positions 29 to 507 of the family's 1533-position model. The record is from RNAcentral.
AACGAACGCUGGCGGCAUGCCUAACACAUGCAAGUCGAACGAGACCUUCGGGUCUAGUGGCGCACGGGUGCGUAACGCGUGGGAACCUGCCCUUAGGUUCGGAAUAACUCCCCGAAAGGGGUGCUAAUACCGGAUAAUGUCUUCGGACCAAAGAUUUAUCGCCUUUGGAUGGGCCCGCGUUGGAUUAGCUAGUUGGUAGGGUAAAAGCCUACCACGGCGACGAUCCAUAGCUGGUCUGAGAGGAUGAUCAGCCACACUGGGACUGAGACACGGCCCAGACUCCUACGGGAAGCAGCAGUGGGGAAUAUUGGACAAUGGGCGAAAGCCUGAUCCAGCAAUGCCGCGUGAGUGAUGAAGGCCUUAGGGUUGUAAAGCUCUUUUACCCGGGAUGAUAAUGACAGUACCGGGAGAAUAAGCUCCGGCUAACUCCGUG